Molecule: long non-coding RNA, 465 nt
Organism: Gallus gallus (chicken)
Lineage: Eukaryota; Metazoa; Chordata; Aves; Galliformes; Phasianidae
Source: Ensembl
CUGCUAUUAAAAUUUCUCAAAUUUUGCCUGAAGAACUUGCUGAAGUCUCCCGUCUUCAGCACUGUGUUCUUAGAUAUCUGGAAAUCAGAGCAAAGAGUUGGCAGAAGUCUUUGCUAUAACAGCAGAUAAUACUGUAAAGGAUAAAAUAAAAGGCCAAGAAGAGGAAAGAAUGAAAACUAUGAAAAUACAAGACCACAAGGAUGUUGGAUGUUCAAGGUUUUCUGAAGCAGUGUUGUAUUUCUUAACUGUAAUGAAAAAAUCCUGAAGUGCAAUUCCUCCCUUUUUUCCUCUAAAACAAACCAGAAGAGACAACGACAAUAUAUCUCUGUGAUACAGACACUUGAUCACUUUGUCCUGGAAAGAUCCCGCCAACUCAUUUAAGAUAUGUAAUGAGUGACUUCAUUUAGGUUCAUGGUUAUUACUAAGGUAGGAGAGUUAAACAUGAACCAAGCAAAUAAAAUUUCU